ACGGUCACAUCGUUGAAGCUACCCCCCCACCGCUGUACGAUGACCGAAGUUAAGCAACGUCGAACCUGGUCAGUACCUAGAUGGGUGACCACUUGGGAAUACCGGGUGCUGUAA
Molecule: non-coding RNA, 114 nt
Organism: Acanthosepion pharaonis
Lineage: Eukaryota; Metazoa; Mollusca; Cephalopoda; Sepiida; Sepiidae
Source: the annotation of a GenBank genome assembly